This is a long non-coding RNA of Folsomia candida, 414 nucleotides long. RefSeq lists it as uncharacterized. NCBI's taxonomy places the organism in Eukaryota, Metazoa, Arthropoda, Collembola, Entomobryomorpha, Isotomidae. The transcript is spliced from 2 exons. The record is from RefSeq and is a predicted model, not a curated record.
UUAUAUUUUUCGACAUCAGUUCCAAUCUGCACCCAGCAAUAUUCGGUUCUUCACUACGUGGAUAUUGUGUGUGGCCAAUUGUAGAGAAUAGUUUUUGUUGAGAGCAACGGCGAAAACAUGAAACUGUUUUUAAUUCUUGUUUUGGGUAGUUUCCUUGUCUUGAGUCUAUCAAAUGUUGCAGGCGAACCAACAUGUCCACCACGUCCAGGCCCUUGUCGAAAUAUUGUCAGCCCUUGUCGCAACUACCCGUGCAACAAAAGUGGUGGAGAGAUUUGUUGUGUGGAUGACGCAGAUUGCAGCGCUUUUUGCGUUUCAUAAUAGUAUUUACAUACAUAAUUCGUAUUUGUACACAACCUAUAAAAUACAUAAUUGCAAAUAAAAAUCCAGACUCGUUAUGUUUCUGUGGCAUAUACA